Molecule: unclassified non-coding RNA, 318 nt
Filed under: uncultured fungus
Lineage: Eukaryota; Fungi
Description: partial contains small subunit ribosomal RNA, internal transcribed spacer 1, and 5.8S ribosomal RNA
Rfam family: Eukaryotic small subunit ribosomal RNA (bases 1-73)
Source: RNAcentral
GCAAACUUGGUCAUUUAGAGGAAGUAAAAGUCGUAACAAGGUUUCCGUAGGUGAACCUGCGGAAGGAUCAUUAAAAAUUUUUAUAUAUUUUUAUCUACCUUGUGUGCAAACAAUGGAAAGAGGAAAUGGAAAUGGAAAUGGAAUCUAAGAACACCUUUUUUUUCUUUUGGAAAGAAAAAAAAGUGUUUACAAAUUCUCCAUAUUCUUUUUAUUAUAAACACAAUCAAACUUUUUUUAAUGAAAUUAUUUUUUAAAUAAAAUAUUUAUACAACUUUCAACAACGGAUCUCUUGGCUCUCGCAUCGAUGAAGAACGCAGC